GUGGCAUAAUGAGGAUUGAUUUGUUCUGAAUCUGUGUUGACAAAAAACCUCCUACUCAUUCUGA
RNAcentral lists this small nucleolar RNA (64 nucleotides) under Erythranthe guttata (spotted monkey flower). Its description in RNAcentral is "Mimulus guttatus (spotted monkey flower) Small nucleolar RNA Z105". It matches the Rfam family "Small nucleolar RNA Z105". Rfam says of the family: This family consists of several snoRNA Z105 sequences which are members of the C/D class of snoRNA which contain the C (UGAUGA) and D (CUGA) box motifs. This family seems to be found exclusively in plants. C/D box small nucleolar RNAs are known to act as a methylation guides for 18S ribosomal RNA. The record is from Rfam by way of RNAcentral. Lineage: Eukaryota; Viridiplantae; Streptophyta; Magnoliopsida; Lamiales; Phrymaceae.